RNAcentral lists this ribosomal RNA (64 nucleotides) under Pseudomonas sp. ATCC 13867. Lineage: Bacteria; Pseudomonadati; Pseudomonadota; Gammaproteobacteria; Pseudomonadales; Pseudomonadaceae. The record is from RNAcentral.
CUUGACGACCAUAGAGCGUUGGAACCACCUGAUCCCAUCCCGAACUCAGUAGUGAAACGAUGCA